GAUGAACGCUGGCGGCGUGCCUAAUACAUGCAAGUCGAGCGAACGGACGAGAAGCUUGCUUCUCUGAUGUUAGCGGCGGACGGGUGAGUAACACGUGGAUAACCUACCUAUAAGACUGGGAUAACUUCGGGAAACCGGAGCUAAUACCGGAUAAUAUUUUGAACCGCAUGGUUCAAAAGUGAAAGACGGUCUUGCUGUCACUUAUAGAUGGAUCCGCGCUGCAUUAGCUAGUUGGUAAGGUAACGGCUUACCAAGGCAACGAUGCAUAGCCGACCUGAGAGGGUGAUCGGCCAAACUGGAACUGAGACACGGUCCCGACUCCUACGGGAGGCAGCAGUAGGGAAUCUUCCGCAAUGGGCGAAAGCCUGAAGGAGCAACGCCGCGUGAGUGAUGAAGGUCUUCGGAUCGUAAAACUCUGUUAUUAGGGAAGAACAAAUGUGUAAGUAACUGUGCACAUCUUGACGGUACCUAAUCAGAAAGCCACGGCUAACUACGUG
RNAcentral lists this ribosomal RNA (497 nucleotides) under uncultured bacterium. RNAcentral describes it as "partial 16S ribosomal RNA". It matches the Rfam family "Bacterial small subunit ribosomal RNA", at positions 28 to 507 of the family's 1533-position model. The record is from RNAcentral.